GCUGGUUCCUUCCUGAAGUUUCCCUCAGGAUAGCUGGUGCAUUUAAAUGUUAUAUAAAAUAAUCUUAUCUGGUAAAGCGAAUGAUUAGAGGCGUUAGGGUCGAAACGAUCUUAACCUAUUCUCAAACUUUAAAUGGGUAAGAACCUUAACUUUCUUGAUAUGAAGUUUAAGGUUAUGAUAUAUUGUGCCCAGUGGGCCACUUUUGGUAAGCAGAACUGGCGCUGUGGGAUGAACCAAACGUAAUGUUACGGUGCCCAAAUUAACAACUCAUACAGAAACCAUGAAAGGCGUUGGUUGCUUAAAACAGCAGGACGGUGAUCAUGGAAGUCGAAAUCCGCUAAGGAGUGUGUAACAACUCACCUGCCGAAGCAACUAGCCCUUAAAAUGGAUGGCGCUUAAGUUGUAUACCUAUACAUUACCGCUAAAGUAGAUGAUUUAUAUUAUUUAUAAUAUAAAUUUUGAAACUUUAGUGAGUAGGAAGGUACAAUGGUGUGCUUAGAAGUGUUUGGCGUAAGCCUGCAUGGAGCCGCCAUUGGUACAGAUCUUGGUGGUAGUAGCAAAUAAUCGAAUGAGACCUUGGAGGACUGAAGUGGAGAAGGGUUUCGUGUGAACAGUGGUUGAUCACGAGUUAGUCGGUCCUAAGUUCAAGGCGAAAGCCGAAAAUUUUCAAGUUUUAAAAAUGUCAAAUGAAAUAAUAAAUAAUAAAACACUUGAAUAAUUUUGAACGAAAGGGAAUACGGUUCCAAUUCCGUAACCUGUUGAGUAUCCGUUUGUUAUUAAAUAUGGGCCUCGUGCUCAUCCUGGCAACAGGAACGACCAUAAAGAAGCCGUCGAGAGGUAUCGGAAGAGUUUUCUUUUCUGUUUUAUAGCCGUACUACCAUGGAAGUCUUUCGCAGAGAGAUAUGGUAGAUGGGCUAGAAGAGCAUGACAUAUACUGUUGUGUCGAUAUUUUCUCCUCGGACCUUGAAAAUUUAUGGUGGGGAUACGCAAACUUCUCAACAGGCCGUACCAAUAUCCGCAGCUGGUCUCCAAGGUGAAGAGUCUCUAGUCGAUAGAAUAAUGUAGGUAAGGGAAGUCGGCAAAUUAGAUCCGUAACUUCGGGAUAAGGAUUGGCUCUGAAGAUUGAGAUAGUCGGGCUUGAUUGGGAAACAAUAACAUGGUUUAUGUGCUCGUUCUGGGUAAAUAGAGUUUCUAUCAUUUAUGAUAGUUAUUUGUUCCCCGGAUAGUUAGUUACGUAGCCAAUUGUGGAACUUUCUUGCUAAAAUUUUUAAGAAUACUAAUUUUUAAUUAGUUCUUUUAAAUUAUAACGAUUAUCAAUUAACAAUCAAUUCAGAACUGGCACGGACUUGGGGAAUCCGACUGUCUAAUUAAAACAAAGCAUUGUGAUGGCCCUAGCGGGUGUUGACACAAUGUGAUUUCUGCCCAGUGCUCUGAAUGUCAAAGUGAAGAAAUUCAAGUAAGCGCGGGUCAACGGCGGGAGUAACUAUGACUCUCUUAAGGCGCUUGCUGCCUCAGCAUGACAUCUAAAAGAAGGCAUAAACAUCGUAUGGCAUAAAAGAGGAGGUUUUAGUACGUAGGCGCUGUGGAACUUUAUAGUUCUGAUGAUGCAGUGAAUCGUGCAUGCGGCAAUUCACCCGUAGUAAGGUGACCGUAUCUUUCGAAGAUUUCCUCCCUCUGCGAUCAAAAAAAAAAAAAAAAAAAAAAAAAAAUAGCCAAAUGCCUCGUCAUCUAAUUAGUGACGCGCAUGAAUGGAUUAACGAGAUUCCUACUGUCCCUAUCUACUAUCUAGCGAAACCACAGCCAAGGGAACGGGCUUGGAAUAAUUAGCGGGGAAAGAAGACCCUUUUGAGCUUGACUCUAAUCUGGCAGUGUAAGGAGACAUAAGAGGUGUAGAAUAAGUGGGAGAUAUUAUUCCUUGUGUUUGAUAUCGCCAAUGAAAUACCACUACUCUUAUUGUUUCCUUACUUACUUGAUUAAAUGGAACGUGUAUCAUUUCCUAGCCAUUAUACGGAUAUAUUUAUUAUAUCUUAUGGUAUUGGGUUUUGAUGCAAGCUUCUUGAUCAAAGUAUCACGAGUUUGUUAUAUAAUCGCAAACAAAUUCUUUAAUGAGAGAGUGCAUUUAUGUAUUUUUAAUUUGAAAUAUUUGGUAUAACUCCAAUUACUCAGGUAUGAUCCAAUUCAAGGACAUUGCCAGGU
This 2196-nucleotide ribosomal RNA is filed under the name Drosophila willistoni. RNAcentral's name for it is "eukaryotic LSU rRNA". It matches the Rfam family "Eukaryotic large subunit ribosomal RNA", at positions 950 to 2613 of the family's 3401-position model. Lineage: Eukaryota; Metazoa; Arthropoda; Insecta; Diptera; Drosophilidae. The record is from RNAcentral.